This 77-nucleotide transfer RNA is filed under the name Sphaerodactylus townsendi. Its description in RNAcentral is "tRNA-Asp". It matches the Rfam family "tRNA". From Rfam's summary of the family: Transfer RNA (tRNA) molecules are approximately 80 nucleotides in length. Their secondary structure includes four short double-helical elements and three loops (D, anti-codon, and T loops). The record is from RNAcentral. Lineage: Eukaryota; Metazoa; Chordata; Lepidosauria; Squamata; Sphaerodactylidae.
AUGUCGCUCAGUGGUGGAGCACCUGUUUGUCACACAGAAGGUUCAAUCCCCUCCAGGUUCAAUCCCUGGCGUCUCUA